This is a small nucleolar RNA of Amblyraja radiata (thorny skate), 91 nucleotides long. RefSeq annotates it as small nucleolar RNA SNORD14. The record is from RefSeq and is a predicted model, not a curated record. Lineage: Eukaryota; Metazoa; Chordata; Chondrichthyes; Rajiformes; Rajidae. The transcript has a single exon.
UCACUGUGAUGACUGUUUCCAACCAUUCGCAGUUUCCCCCAGAAAGGAUGAGUCCACGUGUUGGUUUGACCUUCCUUGGAUGUCUGAGUGA